AAAAAAAAAAAAAAAAAAAUCCUGAGCUGAUAAUUAAUUAUGAUGUUUUAGAAUUAAUAACGUGUUAGUUUGCCGUUACAUUAUUAAUUUCUUCUUCUAUAUAUCAUAAUAAUAUGUGAAUUGAAUAAAGGAGGAAAUUCCCAUUUAAUUCCAUGAAUUUUUGGAGCAAAUUGUAUCAAUCCAUUAUCAUUAUAAACGAUAUGAAAAAUAAAAAAUUAACAUUAUUUUUCA
This 231-nucleotide unclassified non-coding RNA is filed under the name Hevea brasiliensis (rubber tree). The record is from RNAcentral. Lineage: Eukaryota; Viridiplantae; Streptophyta; Magnoliopsida; Malpighiales; Euphorbiaceae.